CCUUUAAAAGAAGCAGGACGCAGACAUAUUCCUUUGGUUCUCAGUGUGUGUGCGGUGUUUGUGUUAUAGUUGGAAAAUGGCAGAAGGCUCAACAAAGGACCACGAAUUGUUCACUUGUCCAGUGUGUCUGGAUCUGCUGAAAGAGCCGGUGACUAUUCCCUGUGGACACAGUUACUGCAUGGGCUGCAUUAAGGACUGCUGGGAUCGGGAAGAUCAGAAGGGAGUCUACAGCUGCCCCCAGUGCCGACAGACUUUCACUCCAAGGCCUGUGUUGAACAAAAACAACAUAUUUUCUGCCUUAGUGGAGGAAAUGCGGAAGACUACAAACCAGGCUGCUUCUCCUGCCGAUAAACACACUGAACCUGGACAAGUGGUGUGUGACGUUUGCACUGGGGGGGAAAGCAAAGCCGUCAAGUCCUGCCUGGAGUGUCUGGUGUCUUACUGUGAAUCUCACUACAAAGUCCACAACCUGAUGAACCCAGGACGUAAACACAAAGUGAUUGACGCCACAGCUGACCUACAGGAGAGGAGCUGCUCUCAGCAUGGGAAGGCGCUGGAAAUCUUCUGCAAGACUGACCAGAGUUGCAUCUGCUACCUGUGUACAAUGGACGAACACAGUGGACACAAGACCGUCUCAGCUGCAGCAGAAAGAGCAGAGAAACAGAAGCAGGUGGUGGAGACACAGAGUAAAUUCCAGCAGAGAAUCCAGGAGAGAGAGAAGGAGUUGAAGGAGCUGAGGAAGACUGUGGAGACCCUCAAGAGCUCUGCACGGACAACAGUGGAGGACUGUGAGAGGAUCUUCACUGAGAUGAUCCAGCGCAUUGAGGGAAGGCGCUCUGAGGUGAAACGGCUCAUUGAAGCUCAGGAGGAGAGUGAGGUGAGUGAGGCUGAAGAACUGGUCAAGCAGCUGGAGGAGGAGAUUGAUGAGCUGAAGAGGAGAGAUGCUGAACUGGACCAGCUUCCACACACAGAGGAUCACAUCCAUUUCCUCAAGAGAUUUCAGUCUGUCUGUGCAUCCGAUGAGUAUGAAGACCUACCCAGUGUAGCUGUCAAUCAAACCCUCUCUUUUGAGGGUGUGAAGGCUUCUGUCUCUGCGCUGAAGCAGCAAGUAGAAGACUUCUGCAAGAAGGAGGUCAUCAAGAUAUCUGAAGAAGUAACCAGAAUCAAGACUGUUUUGCCCUCUACACCAAAGACAAGAGAGGAUUUCCUGCAAUAUUCCUGUCAUUUUACACUGGAUCCAAACACUGCAAACAACUAUAUAACUCUCAGCGAAGGAAACAGAAAGAUUGAAUGGAAGAGUGAGUCAGCGCGACCUGACAAUCCAGAGAGAUUUCAGAAAGUGCGUCAAGUGCUGUGUAGGGAGAGUGUGUCUGGACGAUGCUAUUGGGAGGUGGAGUGGAGUGGAGGGGGGAUUUCCAUAGCAGUCUCAUAUAAAGGAAUCGACAGGACAAGAGUGUUUGAUGUAAGUGUUUUUGGACGUAAUGAUCAGUCUUGGAGUCUAGAGUACAAUUCCCCAAACUUCUCUUUCUGGCAUAAUAAUCAAGAGACACGUCUAACCCCCAUCUGCAGUUCUAAAAUAGGUGUGUAUGUGGACUGCAGGGCUGGAACUCUGUCCUUCUAUAGUGUCUCUGACGCAAUGACCCUUCUGCACAGAGUACAGACCACAUUCACUGACACACUCUACCCUGGGUUUAGGACUACGCAUUAUGAUACAUCAGCAAAGAUUUUGUAACUAUAUAUAUCUGAAUACCUGAAUAGCCUUUAUGCGUGAUCAGUGAGUGAUUUACUAAAUUUGUAUUUCAUUUAGAUUGAUUUGAUGUUUGAAAUGUGUCUGUCUAUCCACAAGCCAAUCUUUCUGGAAUAAAAUAUUUUUUUAAAUAGUUGGGUUUUUGUGUGUUGCUUUUACAUUCAGUGCAUACAAAUAUCAUGUCAGGUUAAUAAAAUAGAAUCAGGUCAACACAUUUAUGAGAAUCCCCUACAUGGAGUCAAUCAUAUCUUGCUGUGUUAAAAUGACUGAACUUGAAAAAAGGUAAAUUAUUUAAAAAGCAGACACUGAUAUACUAUCAUAUAAGGUUUAGUUUAAUAGCCUAUGAAAAAGGAGGG
Molecule: RNA transcript, 2103 nt
Organism: Clupea harengus (Atlantic herring)
Lineage: Eukaryota; Metazoa; Chordata; Actinopteri; Clupeiformes; Clupeidae
Gene name: tripartite motif-containing protein 16-like
Exons: 7
Source: RefSeq, a predicted model, not a curated record